RNAcentral lists this transfer RNA (70 nucleotides) under Cyrtodactylus chanhomeae. RNAcentral's name for it is "tRNA Ile". The record is from RNAcentral. Lineage: Eukaryota; Metazoa; Chordata; Lepidosauria; Squamata; Gekkonidae.
GGAAGCGUGCCCGAGACCAAAAGGAUUACUUUGAUAGAGUACAACACAGAGGGGACCCCUCUCACUUCCU